GCGCCCAUAGCUCAGUCGGUANNGCUCCCUUUUAAGGAGACGGUCGUAGGUUCGAUUCCUACUGGGCGCACCA
RNAcentral lists this transfer RNA (73 nucleotides) under Candidatus Yonathbacteria bacterium. Its description in RNAcentral is "tRNA-Ser". It matches the Rfam family "tRNA". From Rfam's summary of the family: Transfer RNA (tRNA) molecules are approximately 80 nucleotides in length. Their secondary structure includes four short double-helical elements and three loops (D, anti-codon, and T loops). Further hydrogen bonds mediate the characteristic L-shaped molecular structure. tRNAs have two regions of fundamental functional importance: the anti-codon, which is responsible for specific mRNA codon recognition, and the 3' end, to which the tRNAs corresponding amino acid is attached (by aminoacyl-tRNA synthetases). tRNAs cope with the degeneracy of the genetic code in two manners: having more than one tRNA (with a specific anti-codon) for a particular amino acid; and 'wobble' base-pairing, i.e. permitting non-standard base-pairing at the 3rd anti-codon position. Lineage: Bacteria; Candidatus Yonathiibacteriota. The record is from RNAcentral.